UACAGAGGUCCCAAGCGUUGUUCGGAUUCACUGGGCGUAAAGGGCGCGUAGGCGGCUUGGUAAGCGUGCGGUGAAAGCUCGGGGCUCAACCCCGAGUCUGCCGUGCGAACUGCCGGGCUUGAGCACAGUAGAGGCAGAUGGAAUUCCGGGUGUAGCGGUGGAAUGCGUAGAGAUCCGGAAGAACACCGGUGGCGAAGGCGGUCUGCUGGGCUGUGUCUGACGCUGAUGCGCGACAGCGUGGGGAGCAAACAGG
RNAcentral lists this ribosomal RNA (253 nucleotides) under uncultured bacterium. RNAcentral describes it as "partial 16S ribosomal RNA". It matches the Rfam family "Bacterial small subunit ribosomal RNA", at positions 524 to 776 of the family's 1533-position model. The record is from RNAcentral.